UAGUCCACGCCGUAAACGAUGGAUGCUAGCCGUCGGGGCAAUAAGCUUCGGUGGCGUCGCUAACGCAUUAAGCAUCCCGCCUGGGGAGUACGGUCGCAAGAUUAAAACUCAAAGGAAUUGACGGGGACCCGCACAAGCGGUGGAGCAUGUGGUUUAAUUCGAGGCAACGCGAAGAACCUUACCAGGACUUGACAUGCCGGUCGCGCUUACCAGAGAUGGUUUGCUUCAGUUUGGCUGGACCGUGCACAGGUGCUGCACGGCUGUCGUCAGCUCGUGUCGUGAGAUGUUGGGUUAAGUCCCGCAACGAGCGCAACCCUCAUUCUUAUUUGCCAGCACUUCGGGUGGGAACUAUAAGAAAACUGCCGGAGUUAAUCCGGAGGAAGGUGGGGAUGACGUCAAGUCUUCAUGGCCCUUAUGUCCUGGGCUACACACGUGCUACAAUGGCGGUGACAGUGGGCAGCGACACUGAAAAGUGGAGCCAAUCUCAAAAAGCCGUCUCAGUUCGGAUUG
Molecule: ribosomal RNA, 510 nt
Filed under: uncultured bacterium
Lineage: Bacteria
Description: bacterial SSU rRNA
Rfam family: Bacterial small subunit ribosomal RNA
Source: RNAcentral